GGAGUGGAAAAUACACUCACUAUUUGCUUAUGCAGGAAAUAGUACUUCUGGGUUUUAAAGUAAAAUCAGUAAGUGAUUUCCAUAAUUAAUAUUUUCAAUUCUUAGGUAACUGGACUUUUACAACAUCCUUAAUAUUUAACCAAAGCAAACUAAAAGGGAGAAAUGGAAGAGAGAUUAUUCACUAACAAGAUUCAUCGCAUCCAUUCUGAAAGCUGUAGGCCCAGCCAUGGAGACAGGAGCCUAACAUAGCUGUCUUUAGAGUGGCUCUACCAGCAGCUGACUGGGACAGAAGCACAUACUCACAGCCAAGCAUUGGACAGAGGUGGAAGAGUUGGGGGAAGGAUUGAAGGAACUGAAGGGGAUGGCAAUCCCAUAGGAAGACCAACAGGGUCCACUAACCUGGACCCCUGGGAAGUCCCAAAGACUGAGCUACUACAAACCAAUGAGCAUACAUAGUUUGGUCUGAGCCCUGGCAACUCCCUACCCACCCCAGCACAUAUGUAAGAGAGGGCUGCCUUGUCUGCUCUCACUGGAAGAGAAUGAAUCUAAUCUUGUAGACACUUGAUGCCCCAGGGUGACGGGAUACCUGGGGGUGGGAGGGGCAACCUUUCAGAGGCAAAGGGAAGAAAGGAUGGGGGAAGAACCAGGGAGGAGGCAACAUUUCUGAUGUAAACAAAUAAAAUAAUUAAUAAAAUAAA
Molecule: non-coding RNA, 698 nt
Organism: Rattus norvegicus (Norway rat)
Lineage: Eukaryota; Metazoa; Chordata; Mammalia; Rodentia; Muridae
Source: RefSeq, a predicted model, not a curated record